Molecule: ribosomal RNA, 496 nt
Filed under: uncultured bacterium
Lineage: Bacteria
Description: partial 16S ribosomal RNA
Rfam family: Bacterial small subunit ribosomal RNA
Source: RNAcentral
GAUGAACGCUGGCGGCGUGCCUAAUACAUGCAAGUCGAACGAACAGACGAGGAGCUUGCUCCUCUGACGUUAGCGGCGGACGGGUGAGUAACACGUGGAUAACCUACCUAUAAGACUGGGAUAACUUCGGGAAACCGGAGCUAAUACCGGAUAAUAUAUUGAACCGCAUGGUUCAAUAGUGAAAGACGGUUUUGCUGUCACUUAUAGAUGGAUCCGCGCCGCAUUAGCUAGUUGGUAAGGUAACGGCUUACCAAGGCAACGAUGCGUAGCCGACCUGAGAGGGUGAUCGGCCACACUGGAACUGAGACACGGCCCAGACUCCUACGGGAGGCAGCAGUAGGGAAUCUUCCGCAAUGGGCGAAAGCUUGACGGAGCAACGCCGCGUGAGUGAUGAAGGUCUUCGGAUCGUAAAACUCUGUUAUUAGGGAAGAACAAAUGUGUAAGUAACUAUGCACGUCUUGACGGUACCUAAUCAGAAAGCCACGGCUAACUACGU